RNAcentral lists this ribosomal RNA (253 nucleotides) under uncultured bacterium. RNAcentral describes it as "partial 16S ribosomal RNA". It matches the Rfam family "Bacterial small subunit ribosomal RNA", at positions 524 to 776 of the family's 1533-position model. The record is from RNAcentral.
UACGAAGGUCCCAAGCGUUGUUCGGAAUCACUGGGCGUAAAGGGUGCGUAGGCGGCGUGGUAAGCCAGAUGUGAAAUCCCGGGGCUCAACCCCGGAACUGCAUCCGAUACUGCCAUGCUUGAGGACUGGAGAGGUGACUGGAAUUCUCGGUGUAGCAGUGAAAUGCGUAGAGAUCGAGAGGAACACUCGUGGCGAAAGCGAGUCACUGGACAGUAUCUGACGCUGAUGCACGAAGGCUAGGGGAGCGAAAGGG